UUGCUUGUUGGGGUUGUAGGACACUCUAUACGGAGUUACAAAGGACGACAUUAGACGAAUCAUCUGGAAAGAUGAAUCAAAGAAGGUAAUAAUCCUGUAGUCGAAAAUGUUGUCUCUCUUGAGUGGAUCCUGAGUACGACGGAGCACGUGAAAUUCCGUCGGAAUCUGGGAGGACCAUCUCCUAAGGCUAAAUACUCUCUAGUGACCGAUAGUGAACCAGUACCGUGAGGGAAAGGUGAAAAGCACCCCGGAAGGGGAGUGAAAUAGAACCUGAAACCGUGUGCUUACAAGUAGUCAGAGCCCGUUAAUGGGUGAUGGCGUGCCUUUUGUAGAAUGAACCGGCGAGUUACGAUUUGAUGCAAGGUUAAGCAGUAAAUGUGGAGCCGUAGCGAAAGCGAGUCUGAAUAGGGCGUUUAGUAUUUGGUCGUAGACCCGAAACCAGGUGAUCUACCCUUGGUCAGGUUGAAGUUCAGGUAACACUGAAUGGAGGACCGAACCGACUUACGUUGAAAAGUGAGCGGAUGAACUGAGGGUAGCGGAGAAAUUCCAAUCGAACCUGGAGAUAGCUGGUUCUCUCCGAAAUAGCUUUAGGGCUAGCCUCAAGUGAUGAUUAUUGGAGGUAGAGCACUGUUUGGACGAGGGGCCCCUCUCGGGUUACCGAAUUCAGACAAACUCCGAAUGCCAAUUAAUUUAACUUGGGAGUC
Molecule: ribosomal RNA, 704 nt
Filed under: Staphylococcus aureus
Lineage: Bacteria; Bacillati; Bacillota; Bacilli; Caryophanales; Staphylococcaceae
Description: partial 23S ribosomal RNA
Rfam family: Bacterial large subunit ribosomal RNA
Source: RNAcentral